CUAAUUUGUUGUACAGAAUUAGGGCUAGGGUUUCAAAUACCCUCUCAUCCGGCACUCCCCAUCUAUAAAGUUCCCCGUUAGGGGAGUCGUCUUCCCGCAGAUCCUCCAGCCCAAGAAAUGUGCAAAUCCAUCAGCAUAAAUUUGAAGUCAUGGUAAAGUCUUUCAUAAAUCACGUAAUAUUUAGAAGGCUUCGCACGAGAUGAGCUCAAAGUAUAAAGCUGUGUAGUCUGUUAUGUAUACAACUGUUUCUACUGUCAAACAGGCUUAAUUAGCUAUAUUUAUUUGUAUAUUCUUACUAAGUUAGAGCUAGAAUGUGCUUUGUUUCAUAACGCCCUAAAGUAUAAAGCUGUGUAGCUCUGCGUCUGCGGUUUCAAAGCAUUCCUGUUGCAUAAUUAGCAUUCAACGUAAUGCCUAUAAACCUGUAUUCGUCCUUUUGAAUUUUAGUGCCAGUUUACGUAGUACUGUCAGGGGUUAAAUAUCAAUUGCAUUGCAAUUCCACCACAAUUCUUUGUCCAGUCUAAUUACAAUGUUUGGUUGGAUUGAA
Long non-coding RNA from Ipomoea triloba (trilobed morning glory), 544 nucleotides. RefSeq lists it as uncharacterized. The transcript is spliced from 2 exons. Lineage: Eukaryota; Viridiplantae; Streptophyta; Magnoliopsida; Solanales; Convolvulaceae. The record is from RefSeq and is a predicted model, not a curated record.